CCUACGGGAGGCAGCAGUAGGGAAUUUUGCGCAAUGGGCGAAAGCCUGAUGCAGCAACGCCGCGUGAACGAGACGCCCUUCGCGGUGUAUAGUUCUGUCAGAGGGGACGAAAAAUUACGGUACCCACAGAGCAAGCAGCGGCGAACUCCGUGCCAGCAGCCGCGGUAAUACGGAGGGUGCAAGCGUUGUCCGGAAUCAUUGGGAGUAAAGAGUUCGUAGGCGGCAUGUAAAGUCAGGUGUGAAAGGCGCAGGCUCAACCUGGGUAUGGCACAUGAUACUUGCAAGCUGGAAUGCGGUAGAGGUAAAGGGAAUUCCUGGUGUAGCAGUGAAAUGCUUAGAUAUCAGGAGGAACAUCGGUGGCGUAAGCGCUUUACUGGGCCGUAAUUGACGCUGAGGAACGAAAGCCAGGGUAGCAAAUGGGAUUAGAUACCCUUGUAGUC
This 440-nucleotide ribosomal RNA is filed under the name uncultured bacterium. RNAcentral's name for it is "partial 16S ribosomal RNA". It matches the Rfam family "Bacterial small subunit ribosomal RNA", at positions 338 to 795 of the family's 1533-position model. The record is from RNAcentral.